Long non-coding RNA from Calliphora vicina (urban bluebottle blowfly), 552 nucleotides. RefSeq lists it as uncharacterized. The record is from RefSeq and is a predicted model, not a curated record. The transcript has 4 exons. Lineage: Eukaryota; Metazoa; Arthropoda; Insecta; Diptera; Calliphoridae.
UGCAAUAUUACCAAACAACAAAAAAAUCGACAAAAAACAUAUAAUGAGCAUUCAAGACUAUAACCUCUCAAAAGUGGAUGUCACUAACAUGGAAGAGAAUACUUAUUGCAUAGUUUUAAACAUUGCGGAAGGUACUGGCUUCGAUUCAAAAUAUUUUAAAAAUUAUGUUAAAUGCGUAAUGCUGAAAGUUUCCCUGAAUGGAGUAACAUUUGAAAUAGAAGGAAAUUUCACACAACCAAACAUAAUUAUAUUUAAUAGUAAUUGUAUUUGGGAGUGCGAUUUGGAAGACGUAAAACGAAUUAAAAUGGAAAAUCGACCAGUAAAACUGGAAUGCCUUUUUAAUAAUGAUUACUACACAAAGGGAUCUAUGAAGCGUAUGGGGUCAUUAUUGUUACCUUUGCGGGGAGUAAAGAUAUUACAUAAUCUCGCAAAUUUGCAGAUUAAACCAUAUUGGUACAAGCUGAUUAAUUCAAGUACUAAAGAUUAUCAAAUGUCACCACAAAUAUAUCUUAUGUUGGCAAUUGUUAAGAAAACUAUAGUUGAUCAUAUUCA